This is a non-coding RNA of Cordylochernes scorpioides, 76 nucleotides long. The record is from the annotation of a GenBank genome assembly. NCBI's taxonomy places the organism in Eukaryota, Metazoa, Arthropoda, Arachnida, Pseudoscorpiones, Chernetidae.
AUCAGAUUGGCCGAGUGGUCAAGAUGCCAGUUCUGGCCCUCUAAUGAGGUCGCGGGUUCGUACCCCGCUUCUGAGA